UUCUCAGCUACAUAGGCGCCAUAUUGCUUAGUGAAUGCCAGCUUCAAGAAGUAUCGGUUAUGUUCCAUCUGGUCCAUUUACUUAUCUCUGGCCUACCCCCUGGUUGUUUGUUUAUUACUUUUACGCGCGCGUUUUUUCUCUCCAGUAUAAAAAAGCCACGCAGACUGUUUAGUGUGCGUGCUUUUUACUAAAUGUUUCAUCAUGUACCCAAAUGAUGUACCUUUGUUUGUUUUCAGUUGUUACAGUGAGUGUUAAGCUAUGAGUAACUGUAAGCAAUGUUUAUGUGAAGAAUGUGGACAAGGGUAUGAUUAUAAGAAAAAUCUUCGCCAACACGUGCGGACGAAACAUCCCGGGAAAGUUGACUUAUCUUUUUUAGAGAACAAGAAAAAAAAUUGUAAAUUUAAGUGCAACAGUUGCGAUAAAAAGUUUAGUCAUUUCCGAAAUCUAAGCUUCCAUGAACGGAAAUAUCACACAAAUCUUCAGCCACACGAACUGACGAAAAAUCCCGGUAAAAUUGAUGACGUAGCUUCUAACCGGAAAAAAAAAAAUUUGGAAUUCAAGUGCAAAAGUUGCAAUAGGCAAUAUAAUCUUUUUCGAAAUUUAAGAUACCAUGAACGGAAAUUUCACAGUACGGAAAUUGUUUCCAAAAACAGUUUCAAGUGCUCGUUAUGUGAGUUCAGACUUAAUACGAAAACGUCAUUUCUGAAUCAUCUGGAGUCGGAACACAGUGCUGGCGUCAAGUCCCAAGAUCUCGAGUUUUCCUCUUUCGAAGAUUUUGUGAAAUGGAAGCAAAAUGUUGAAAAGGAAACAUUUUCCAGGACCAAGAAGCAGGACUUCAUGAUCGCCGGCACGGGGCCGCGCCGACACUACACCAUGUUCGACUGGGUGCUGGACUACUUUGGGCGUGCCGAGGGACUCGCUCACCCGCUCUACCUGCAGCACCAAGGUCACAGCCGCACGAUCGUGGGCGUGGAGGUACUUUACGGGGAGAGGCUCAACCUGCUGGUGCUGGACCCCAUCCACCGGCCGCACCAGAUGAGCCAGCUGUACGACCCGGACACAGCAGGCGAAGCCAUGGAGCUCCUUCGCCUGUCUCUGGACGACUUCAGGCAGCCGUACUACCAGGUGCUGGCCGUGAGCGGUGUCAUGGGCGAGCGUGAGCACCAGGUGAGCUUCCUCGCUACCAGACUGUCGCUGGACGACUUCAGGCAGCCGUACUACCAGGAGCUGGCCGUGAGCGGUGUCAUGGGCGAGCGUGAGCACCAGGUGAGCUCCCUCGCUACCAGGACUGUGGCUGGACGACUUCAGGCAGCCGUACUACCAGGUGCUGGCCCUGAGCGGUGACAUGGGCGAGCGUGAGCACCAGGUGAGCUCCCUCGCUACCAGGACUGUGGCUGGACGACUUCAGGCAGCCGUACUACCAGGUGCUGGCCCUGAGCGGUGACAUGGGCGAGCGUGAGCACCAGGUGAGCUCCCUCGCUACCAGGACUGUGGCUGGACGACUUCAGGCAGCCGUACUACCAGGUGCUGGCCCUGAGCGGUGACAUGGGCGAGCGUGAGCACCAGGUGAGCUCCCUCGCUACCAGGACUGUGGCUGGACGACUUCAGGCAGCCGUACUACCAGGUGCUGGCCCUGAGCGGUGACAUGGGCGAGCGUGAGCACCAGGUGAGCUCCCUCGCUACCAGGACUGUGGCUGGACGACUUCAGGCAGCCGUACUACCAGGUGCUGGCCCUGAGCGGUGACAUGGGCGAGCGUGAAUACCAGGUGAGCUCCCUCGCUACCAGGACUGUGGCUGGACGACUUCAGGCAGCCGUACUACCAGGUGCUGGCCCUGAGCGGUGACAUGGGCGAGCGUGAGCACCAGUUGAGCUCCCUCGCUACCAGGACUGUGGCUGGACGACUUCAGGCAGCCGUACUACCAGGUGCUGGCCCUGAGCGGUGACAUGGGCGAGCGUGAGCACCAGUUGAGCUCCCUCGCUACCAGGACUGUGGCUGGACGACUUCAGGCAGCCGUACUACCAGGUGCUAGCCGUGAGCGGUGUCAUGGGUGAGCGUGAGCACCAGUUGAGCUCCCUCGCUACCAGGACUGUGGCUGGACGACUUCAGGCAGCCGUACUACCAGGUGCUGGCCCUGAGCGGUGACAUGGGCGAGCGUGAGCACCAGUUGAGCUCCCUCGCUACCAUGACUGUGGCUGGACGACUUCAGGCAGCCGUACUACCAGGUGCUGGCCGUGAGCGGUGUCAUGGGUGAGCGUGAGCACCAGUUGAGCUCCCUCGCUACCAGGACUGUGGCUGGACGACUUCAGGCAGCCGUACUACCAGGUGCUGGCCCUGAGCGGUGACAUGGGUGAGCGUGAGCACCAGGUGAGCUCCCUCGCUACCAGGACUGUGGCUGGACGACUUCAGGCAGCCGUACUACCAGGUGCUGGCCGUGAGCGGUGUCAUGGGUGAGCGUGAGCACCAGUUGAGCUCCCUCGCUACCAGGACUGUGGCUGGACGACUUCAGGCAGCCGUACUACCAGGUGCUGGCCGUGAGCGGUGUGAUGGGCGAGCGUGAGCACCAGGUGAGCUCCCUCGCUACCAGGACUGUGGCUGGACGACUUCAGGCAGCCGUACUACCAGGUGCUGGCCCUGAGCGGUGUCAUGGGUGAGCGUGAGCACCAGGUGAGCUCCCUCGCUACCAGGACUGUGGCUGGACGACUUCAGGCAGCCGUACUACCAGGUGCUGGCCCUGAGCGGUGACAUGGGCGAGCGUGAGCACCAGGUGAGCUCCCUCGCUACCAGGACUGUGGCUGGACGACUUCAGGCAGCCGUACUACCAGGUGCUGGCCGUGAGCGGUGUCAUGGGUGAGCGUGAGCACCAGUUGAGCUCCCUCGCUACCAGGACUGUGGCUGGACGACUUCAGGCAGCCGUACUACCAGGUGCUGGCCCUGAGCGGUGACAUGGGCGAGCGUGAGCACCAGGUGAGCUCCCUCGCUACCAGGACUGUGGCUGGACGACUUCAGGCAGCCGUACUACCAGGUGCUGGCCGUGAGCGGUGUCAUGGGCAAGCGUGAGCACCAGGUGAGCUCCCUCGCUACCAGGACUGACUGGACGACUUCAGGCAGCCGUACUACCAGGUGCUGGCCGUGAGAGGUGUCAUGGGCGUGCGUGAGCACCAGGUGAGCUCCCUCGCUACCAGGACUGUGGCUGGACGACUUCAGGCAGCCGUACUACCAGGUGCUGUCCAUGAGCGGUGUCAUGGGCGAGCGUGAGUACCAGGUGAGCUCCCUCGCUACCAGAAAUUGUGGCUGGACGACUUCAGGCAGCCGUACUACCAGGUGCUGGCCGUGAGCGGUGUCAUGGGCGAGCGUGAGCACCAGGUGAGCUCCCUCGCUACCAGGACUGUGGCUGGACGACUUCAGGCAGCCGUACUACCAGGUGCUGGCCCUGAGCGGUGACAUGGGCGAGCGUGAGCACCAGUUGAGCUCCCUCGCUACCAGGACUGUGGCUGGACGACUUCAGGCAGCCGUACUACCAGGUGCUGGCCCUGAGCGGUGACAUGGGCGAGCGUGAGCACCAGUUGAGCUCCCUCGCUACCAGGACUGUGGCUGGACGACUUCAGGCAGCCGUACUACCAGGUGCUGGCCCUGAGCGGUGACAUGGGCGAGCGUGAGCACCAGUUGAGCUCCCUCGCUACCAGGACUGUGGCUGGACGACUUCAGGCAGCCGUACUACCAGGUGCUGGCCCUGAGCGGUGACAUGGGCGAGCGUGAGCACCAGUUGAGCUCCCUCGCUACCAGGACUGUGGCUGGACGACUUCAGGCAGCCGUACUACCAGGUGCUGGCCGUGAGCGGUGUCAUGGGCGAGCGUGAGCACCAGGUGAGCUCCCUCGCUACCAGGACUGUGGCUGGACGACUUCAGGCAGCCGUACUACCAGGUGCUGGCCCUGAGCGGUGACAUGGGCGAGCGUGAGCACCAGUUGAGCUCCCUCGCUACCAGGACUGUGGCUGGACGACUUCAGGCAGCCGUACUACCAGGUGCUGGCCGUGAGCGGUGUCAUGGGCGAGCGUGAGCACCAGGUGAGCUCCCUCGCUACCAGGACUGUGGCUGGACGACUUCAGGCAGCCGUACUACCAGGUGCUGGCCGUGAGCGGUGUCAUGGGCGAGCGUGAGCACAAGGUGAGCUCCCUCGCUACCAGGACUGUGGCUGGACGACUUCAGGCAGCCGUACUACCAGGUGCUGGCCCUGAGCGGUGUCAUGGGUGAGCGUGAGCACCAGGUGAGCUCCCUCGCUACCAGGACUGUGGCUGGACGACUUCAGGCAGCCGUACUACCAGGUGCUGGCCGUGAGCGGUGUCAUGGGCGAGCGUGAGCACCAGGUGAGCUCCCUCGCUACCAGGACUAUGGCUGGACGACUUCAGGCAGCCGUACUACCAGGUGCUGGCCGUGAGCGGUGUCAUGGGCGAGCGUGAGCACCAGGUGAGCUCCCUCGCUACCAGGACUGUGGCUGGACGACUUCAGGCAGCCGUACUACCAGGUGCUGGCCGUGAGCGGUGUCAUGGGCGAGCGUGAGCACCAGGUGAGCUCCCUCGCUACCAGGACUGUGGCUGGACGACUUCAGGCAGCCGUACUACCAGGUGCUGGCCCUGAGCGGUGACAUGGGCGAGCGUGAGCACCAGUUGAGCUCCCUCGCUACCAGGACUGUGGCUGGACGACUUCAGGCAGCCGUACUACCAGGUGCUGGCCGUGAGCGGUGUCAUGGGCGAGCGUGAGCACCAGGUGAGCUCCCUCGCUACCAGGACUGUGGCUGGACGACUUCAGGCAGCCGUACUACCAGGUGCUGGCCGUGAGCGGUGUCAUGGGCGAGCGUGAGCACCAGGUGAGCUCCCUCGCUACCAGGACUGUGGCUGGACGACUUCAGGCAGCCGUACUACUACGGGAGCUGGCCGUGAGCGGUGUCAUGGGCGAGCGUGAGCACCAGCGAAGCAGAGGCGUGCUGGCUCCGGGAGGGCAUUACGGCCUCUACUGAGGCUCGCCUGCCGAGCCGUGCAGCAUCCCUGGUCCACAAGCAACUCCGCCCCUCUCCAUCGACAUUAUUUAUUAAACAUCUCACUUACAUAUUC
Molecule: RNA transcript, 5109 nt
Organism: Bacillus rossius redtenbacheri
Lineage: Eukaryota; Metazoa; Arthropoda; Insecta; Phasmatodea; Bacillidae
Gene name: zinc finger-containing ubiquitin peptidase 1-like
Exons: 4
Source: RefSeq, a predicted model, not a curated record